GAGCACCGCGUUUCAAGGUGAGUUGGAGCGUGAAGUGGCGUCGGAACCGCAGUAUCAUGCGCAAAAGAGAAGUCGUGUAAGCAGCCUGUCGGAUACCCGGGUACGAGGCUUCGCCUGCUGGGAAAGUUAAAGGUGCGGUGGAGUGGAGUGGACGUCACGCGUUCAUGUGUGGGGAGGAAAUCCUCAACCUGUAUGCGUCAUUCGCAUUUCAUCCCAUCGAUUGCACUGCGCGCGAAAACUAUGACAUGUACCAUUUUGGAAGAUCAUGAUGAUAAACAGCACAGUGACAGACAUGAAGAAAGCAGAUCUCACGUAACGUUUGUGAGAAAUAAUACAGUAAGAACUAUCCCAAUGAUUAUUAUUUGAUGUAUUUGUUGAGGAGUUGCAAUGAUGAGUCACACACAAUGUCGUUACAAAGUUCAAGCACGCACACACAAAGUGGAUACACAAACACAGCGCACAAGGUUAACUUUCCACUGUUUUGCACUGCAAAUGUGACAGGAUACACGACUUCGACUUCUUUUGUAAUUGUACUCACAUGCGGCUGUGGUGAUAAAGUAAA
Non-coding RNA from Danio rerio (zebrafish), 562 nucleotides. NCBI's taxonomy places the organism in Eukaryota, Metazoa, Chordata, Actinopteri, Cypriniformes, Danionidae. The record is from RefSeq and is a predicted model, not a curated record.